GAUGAACGCUAGCGACAGGCUUAACACAUGCAAGUCGAGGGGCAGCGGGUAGAUGAGCUUGCUCAUUUAUGCCGGCGACCGGCGCACGGGUGAGUAACACGUAUGCAACCUGCCCGUCUCAGGGGGAUAAUCGUCGGAAACGGCGUCUAAUACCCCGUAUGAAGCUGGACGGCAUCGUCUGGUUUUGAAAGAAUAUCGGAGACGGAUGGGCAUGCGGCGCAUUAGCUGGUUGGCGGGGUAACGGCCCACCAAGGCGACGAUGCGUAGGGGUUCUGAGAGGAAGGUCCCCCACAUUGGAACUGAGACACGGUCCAA
Molecule: ribosomal RNA, 315 nt
Filed under: uncultured bacterium
Lineage: Bacteria
Description: bacterial SSU rRNA
Rfam family: Bacterial small subunit ribosomal RNA
Source: RNAcentral